UGUGACUGAACAAUAUCUCUGCAUAAAUGGAAGGCCAGGGGCACUUCAACAAAAGAAAGUUCUAGUCACUGGCCUAUGUAUCUUUCAAACAGACAAUAGGGAAUUUCUGCAGAAGGGAGAAGGAUCUGGGAGGACAAAGAAGCUUGCCCGUGAGCCACAUGCCAUCCCAAGCCACCGCUGCACAAGACGGUGGCGGAAGUGAACACGACAAGGCGGAGGGUGGUGACGAGAGUCCUCCCUGGAAGUUUACAUUUUAAAAGCUUACAAGAAAAAUCACAGAGGGCCGAAACAAAGGCUGGCCAUGGGGACAGGGCGCUCUUGAAAUCAGAGAAAAGUUUAUGAGAGGGGGGGAAAAAAACCCCAAACAAACCAACUUAAUUUAGACUUAAUUGCUAACUUGGAAGAGUUCCACAGCUGAGGCUUUGAAGGUUUUUAAGAAGCUCUUCCUAUGCCGCAUCUUUAAAUAUAUGUACGUUCAAUCAACAUGAGAAAGACUAAGAAGAGUCUGCCGCAGACACCUGCUUCAAACAAUAGUGCUAAUCUCCGAGGGGUUCUAAACAGCCGCGCACCAACUUCAGAAGAAAGGACGGUGGUGAUCACAGCUUCUAGAGAAUAACGUUAAGGGGAGCAACAACCAGACCUAUGUUCAGAAAGGGACCUGCACGUUCUCCAUACCCGGGGAUGGACCAUUCCACGGACAAGGAGAGAGGCGCCUUCUCAUUCUCCCCGUGUCACCAGCCCCCUCCUGGUCAGCUCGGUCCACCACUGAAUCAUCUUUUAUCAGCACCACUCUGAGCAGGACAAGCCCAGGGACAAAGCUUUCUCCUUGCAGAAACCCCAGCGUCUCCCAGCCCUUGAAGCUGCAGUGUAACCUCUUACCGGUGUCUCGUCAUUGGAGGAUUUUCACGCCUGGCUGGUGGUCCUGAUGGUCCUGCUGAGGAUAAGUGGGGUGCUUUUGUUCUGUGCUCUAGAGAAUAACUUUUUCAUUCAGGAUAGACUACUGGUUACCAGCACUGCAGGCCUGUUCCCUCUGACUUAUUACGCAAAAUGAUUAAAAUGUACUUGGUUAAAGUGCUUGUUGCUCUAAUAUACUAAACCCAGAUUAGCUUAAGAAAUAGAACAAUAGUCCAUUUCUUCUUCUUCUUUUUUUUUUGUUUUUGUUUUUUGUUUUUGUUUUUGAGAGGGAGAUUUAAAAGGUAUGGAAGAGCCUCAGCUUGGAUCAGCUGGCUUCUGAUCACGGAAGUAUAGACUGUCAGCUGAAAAAGACCUCAGACCACAGCUAGUUCCAAACUUUUAAAGAUGAAGAAAACCUGAGGCCCAGAAGGAUCUGGUAACUUAGUUCCCAUUGCUGCCUUUUGGCAGGCUGGGGCUAGGAAGUCAGAUAUGCUGGCUUGUUCUCCUAAUCUGUAUGAACUCUGCAGAGCAAACACACACACCCUUUAAAGAUAAAAAUACAUUCCCCGAGGAGUAGGCCCUCUCCUGCAUUUAUCAGUAUCUAACAGCACUGAACAGACCCUCAGGCCAGGAUCAUCCAACAGAGAGGCUGCCACCCCUGGAAGGUCAUAGUCAAGAGGUGUGAUGGUAGGAGAACCUCAGCUGUGUUGACAUCACCAGAGCCUGGCACACAGUAGGUGCUCAUUGUAUAUUUGCUAUUGAGAUUUAGUAGGAAAAUGUAUCUAUGGCUGAGAACGAGGUG
This is a long non-coding RNA of Bos grunniens (domestic yak), 1696 nucleotides long. The record is from Ensembl. Lineage: Eukaryota; Metazoa; Chordata; Mammalia; Artiodactyla; Bovidae.